This 253-nucleotide ribosomal RNA is filed under the name uncultured bacterium. RNAcentral describes it as "partial 16S ribosomal RNA". It matches the Rfam family "Bacterial small subunit ribosomal RNA", at positions 524 to 776 of the family's 1533-position model. The record is from RNAcentral.
UACGUAGGGGACCAGCGUUGUCCGGAUUUACUGGGCGUAAAGGGCUCGUAGGUGGCCAACUAAGUCAGAUGUGAAAUCCCUCGGCUUAACCGAGGAACUGCGUCUGAUACUGGAUGGCUUGAGUUUGGGAGAGGGAUGCGGAAUUCCUGGUGUAGCGGUGAAAUGCGCAGAUAUCAGGAGGAACACCAGUGGCGAAGGCGGUGCUCUGGGCCGGAACUGACGCUGAGGAGCGAAAGCGUGGGGAGCAAACAGG